AUGUUCUAUUCUAGCAUAGUAUUGAAAAGUGAUAAAGUCAUUUACCAUAGGAUUCCAAAAUCCAACUUAUUCAAGUAUAUAUUCGGGCAGAAGGGUGAAUAUUGGAAAAUGGAGUUUCGGAAUAACUCGGUUGAAGAAAAUGCAGAAAAUCAUCUUUGCGACAGUAUGACGGUCGUCACGCAUACGACGAAAGCAAGUUGA
Non-coding RNA from Vicia faba (fava bean), 201 nucleotides. The record is from the annotation of a GenBank genome assembly. Lineage: Eukaryota; Viridiplantae; Streptophyta; Magnoliopsida; Fabales; Fabaceae.